CCAAGUGGCCAUACCACCCUGAACAUGCCCAAUCUCAUCUGAUUCUGGAAGCUAAGCAGAAUUGGGCCUGGUUAGUACUUGGAUGGGAGACCUCCUGGGAAUACUGGGUGCUGUAGGC
This 118-nucleotide ribosomal RNA is filed under the name Chelonoidis abingdonii (Abingdon island giant tortoise). The record is from RNAcentral. Lineage: Eukaryota; Metazoa; Chordata; Testudines; Testudinidae.